AGGGUUUGAUUCUGGCUCAGGAUGAACGCUAGCUACAGGCUUAACACAUGCAAGUCGAGGGGCAGCAUGUCGGUUGCUUGCAACCGACGAUGGCGACCGGCGCACGGGUGAGUAACGCGUAUCCAACCUACCCUUGUCCAUCGGAUAACCCGUCGAAAGGCGGCCUAACACGAUAUGCGGUUCUCAGCAGGCAUCUAACGAGAACGAAAUGUGAAGGAGAAGGAUGGGGAUGCGUCUGAUUAGCUUGUUGGCGGGGUAACGGCCCACCAAGGCGACGAUCAGUAGGGGUUCUGAGAGGAAGGUCCCCCACAUUGGAACUGAGACACGGUCCAA
RNAcentral lists this ribosomal RNA (333 nucleotides) under uncultured bacterium. RNAcentral describes it as "bacterial SSU rRNA". It matches the Rfam family "Bacterial small subunit ribosomal RNA", at positions 8 to 334 of the family's 1533-position model. The record is from RNAcentral.